AUGUUCUUGGCUCUUCUAGUUUCCAAUUCUUAUGGACAGUCCCUGACCUCCUCUGCUUCUGUGGUGAAGAAACCUGGAGAGUCGGUCACUCUGUCCUGUACUGUCUCUGGAAUGUCACUGAGCUAUUUGCACUGGAUCCGUCAGAAACCAGGACGAGGACUGGAGUGGAUCGGAUACAUUGACAGUGGCACUGGCACAACAUUCUCUCAGUCUCUACAGGGCCAGUUCUCCAUUACUAAAGACACCAAUAAAAACAUGCUGUAUCUAGAAGUGAAGAGUCUGAAAGCUGAAGACACGGCUGUUUAUUACUGUGCACGAGACUCACACUGA
Non-coding RNA from Silurus meridionalis, 330 nucleotides. Lineage: Eukaryota; Metazoa; Chordata; Actinopteri; Siluriformes; Siluridae. The record is from the annotation of a RefSeq genome assembly.